Molecule: non-coding RNA, 289 nt
Organism: Heterocephalus glaber (naked mole-rat)
Lineage: Eukaryota; Metazoa; Chordata; Mammalia; Rodentia; Bathyergidae
Source: RefSeq, a predicted model, not a curated record
GCCAGUGACUGAUGAACUCGGAGUCUGCUCAUCAGAAAAUUACAGAUUGCUAAUGGGCAAAGAACAUGAACCACAGGAAUCUGUCCCAGCUUAUGAAAAUUGAGAAGAAAUUGUAUUUCCUCUCCGAUAGAGACAAGAAUUCAGUAUUCCUGUGACAUCCACAUUACAUGUGGGUGUGAAUUUGACUGCAUGGAAUGUUCCUGUGCUUUUAAGUUUUCCUGUGAUUCUCCCCUUGAACCAGAAAGAAUACAACCCUCCAGAUCCACUUUGCACUUCUGUCUACCAAAAC